CUUCGGAAUUUGAGACCGGCGCACGGGUGCGUAACGCGUAUGCAAUCUACCUUUUACAGAGGGAUAGCCCAGAGAAAUUUGGAUUAAUACCUCAUAGUAUAUAGCCCUGGCAUCAGGAUUAUAUUAAAGUCACAACGGUAAAAGAUGAGCAUGCGUCCCAUUAGCUAGUUGGUAAGGUAACGGCUUACCAAGGCUACGAUGGGUAGGGGUCCUGAGAGGGAGAUCCCCCACACUGGUACUGAGACACGGACCAGACUCCUACGGGAGGCAGCAGUGAGGAAUAUUGGACAAUGGGCGCAAGCCUGAUCCAGCCAUGCCGCGUGCAGGAUGACGGUCCUAUGGAUUGUAAACUGCUUUUAUACGAGAAGAAACACUCCUACGUGUAGGAGCUUGACGGUAUCGUAAGAAUAAGGAUCGGCUAACUCCGUGCCAGCAGCCGCGGUAAUACGGAGGAUCCAAGCGUUAUCCGGAAUCAUUGGGUUUAAAGGGUCCGUAGGCGGUUUAAUAAGUCAGUGGUGAAAGCCCAUCGCUCAACGGUGGAACGGCCAUUGAUACUGUUAAACUUGAAUUAUUAGGAAGUAACUAGAAUAUGUAGUGUAUCGGUGAAAUGCUUAGAGAUAACAUGGAAUACCCAUUGCGAA
RNAcentral lists this ribosomal RNA (641 nucleotides) under uncultured bacterium. RNAcentral describes it as "bacterial SSU rRNA". It matches the Rfam family "Bacterial small subunit ribosomal RNA", at positions 80 to 719 of the family's 1533-position model. The record is from RNAcentral.